UAGGGAAUAUUGCUUAAUGGGCGAAAGCCUGAAGCAGCAACGCCGCGUGAACGAAGAAGGCCUUCGGGUCGUAAAGUUCUUUUACGUGGGAUGAGGAAGGACAGUACCACGAGAAUAAGUCUCGGCUAACUACGUGCCAGCAGCCGCGGUAAAACGUAGGAGACGAGCGUUAUCCGGAUUUACUGGGCGUAAAGCGCGUGUAGGAGGCGCUACAAGUUGGAUGUGAAAGCUCCCGGCUUAACUGGGAGAGGUCGUUCAAGACUGUAGGGCUAGAGUGAGGCAGAGGUAGAUGGAACUCCGGGAGUAGUGGUGAAAUGCGUAGAUAUCCGGAAGAACACCAGAGGCGAAAGCGAUCUACUGGGCCUAAACUGACACUGAGACGCGAAAGCCAGGGUAGCAAGCG
RNAcentral lists this ribosomal RNA (403 nucleotides) under uncultured bacterium. RNAcentral describes it as "bacterial SSU rRNA". It matches the Rfam family "Bacterial small subunit ribosomal RNA", at positions 355 to 774 of the family's 1533-position model. The record is from RNAcentral.